AUGCAAUCUGCUAUAGAAAACAUUCGUGAAAGUGUGGCAUAUUGGACCGCCUUGCCAAAAAGGAUAGAGAAGUUUGAGGAAAUGGCCAAGUAUAAGAAAGUGAAAAUAAAAAGGAAGUUGAGACUUGAUUGCAAGACUAGGUGGAACUCUACUUUUGUAAUGCUUGAUCUUGCUUUGCCUUAUAGACCUGUCUUUGAACGUGCAAAAGAAAAAGAAAAGCAAUAUGAGUGGCUGCCUAGUUCAGAAGAAUGGGCUUUCGCUGUAGAUGUUGUAGAGAUGCUUAGGUUGUUCUAUGAAAUAACCGAGCUAUUUUCUGGAACUGAUUAUGUGACCGCCAAUGUGUACUUUCCUAAGAUAUGUGAAAUUAAAAUGAAAAUGAGGCAGUGGGAAGCAUCUAGCAACAACACUAUCAAAGAAAUGACAAAAAGCAUGACUGAAAAAUUUGAUAAGUAUUGGAGCGACAUCCAAGGUCUAAUGGCUAUAGCUAUAAUUCUUGAUCCUCAAUACAAGAAGCAAAUGUUGGUAGCUUGCUUUGCCAUGCUCCAUGGCACUGAGCCAUCUUCUUAUGAAUGCAUUGAAAAAGUUGAUGACAUAGUUGCUAGUCUGGGCUUAUUAUUGGAAGAAUAUGAAGUGGAAAAUGAGGCAUAUACACCGGAUGAAGAAUCUAUGAUUUCUACAAUGAAAGCUCCUGCAAUCAUGAGUGUCUUCCAAAACAUUGUAGCUCAACAAAUGCCUGCAACAACUAGACUUCAAGGUGAAAUAGAUCAAUACUUGAAUGAUGGAUUAGUGCCUUACGUUGAGAAGUUCAACGUGUUGGAUUGGUGGAAAGUGGCUGGAACUAGGUAUCCUGUUACAACGGUUGCUUCAGAAUCAGCCUUUUCUACAAGUGGCAGAAAGCUCAAUGACCAUAGAAGCCGAUUGACACCACAUAUUGUUGAGGUUUUAAUGUGCUCACAAGAUUGGCUUAGAAACAAGUUCAAAGAUGCUAACACAGGAGAAGCUAGCUUUUGGACUUGCCUUCAA
Molecule: ribosomal RNA, 1023 nt
Filed under: Triticum aestivum (bread wheat)
Lineage: Eukaryota; Viridiplantae; Streptophyta; Magnoliopsida; Poales; Poaceae
Description: partial small subunit ribosomal RNA
Source: RNAcentral